ACUGGGUGUGGUGGUGUGCACCUGUCAUCCCAGCUACUUGGGAGGCUGAGACAGGAGGAUCUUUUGAGCCCAAGAGGUCUGGGCUGUAGAGCAGUAUGGCAGUUGGGUGUCCACACUAAGUUCAGCAACAGUGUGAUGACCUCCUGGAAGCAAGGACCACCAUGUUGCCUAAGGAGGGGUGAAUUGGCCCAGGUUGGAAACAGAGUAGGUCAAAACUCCCAUGCUGAUCAGUAGUGGGAUAGUGCCUGUGAAUAGCCAUUACGCUCCGGCCUGGGCAAUGAAAAAAAAUGUGUAUUUU
Non-coding RNA from Nomascus leucogenys (northern white-cheeked gibbon), 298 nucleotides. It matches the Rfam family "Metazoan signal recognition particle RNA". Rfam says of the family: The signal recognition particle (SRP) is a universally conserved ribonucleoprotein. It is involved in the co-translational targeting of proteins to membranes. The record is from Rfam. NCBI's taxonomy places the organism in Eukaryota, Metazoa, Chordata, Mammalia, Primates, Hylobatidae.